Molecule: non-coding RNA, 108 nt
Organism: Favolaschia claudopus
Lineage: Eukaryota; Fungi; Basidiomycota; Agaricomycetes; Agaricales; Mycenaceae
Source: the annotation of a GenBank genome assembly
GGUCCGAUGGUGUAGUUGGUUAUCACUUCUGUCUAACACUCGAUCAAAUCACGUGAUUUGUGAAAUAUUGUUCACAGGCGGUCCUCAGUUCGAACCUGGGUCGGAUCA